AUCUCAGUUGGUAGAGCAUAAGACUCUUAAUCUCAGGGCGUGGGUUCGAGCCCCAC
RNAcentral lists this transfer RNA (56 nucleotides) under Dryobates pubescens (Downy woodpecker). Its description in RNAcentral is "Picoides pubescens (downy woodpecker) tRNA". It matches the Rfam family "tRNA", at positions 9 to 63 of the family's 71-position model. Rfam says of the family: Transfer RNA (tRNA) molecules are approximately 80 nucleotides in length. Their secondary structure includes four short double-helical elements and three loops (D, anti-codon, and T loops). Further hydrogen bonds mediate the characteristic L-shaped molecular structure. tRNAs have two regions of fundamental functional importance: the anti-codon, which is responsible for specific mRNA codon recognition, and the 3' end, to which the tRNAs corresponding amino acid is attached (by aminoacyl-tRNA synthetases). tRNAs cope with the degeneracy of the genetic code in two manners: having more than one tRNA (with a specific anti-codon) for a particular amino acid; and 'wobble' base-pairing, i.e. permitting non-standard base-pairing at the 3rd anti-codon position. The record is from Rfam by way of RNAcentral. Lineage: Eukaryota; Metazoa; Chordata; Aves; Piciformes; Picidae.